Molecule: ribosomal RNA, 499 nt
Filed under: uncultured bacterium
Lineage: Bacteria
Description: partial 16S ribosomal RNA
Rfam family: Bacterial small subunit ribosomal RNA
Source: RNAcentral
GACGAACGCUGGCGGCGUGCUUAACACAUGCAAGUCGAACGGGCCUGUCUUCUUUUUUGGGGGUGGGUUGAGUGGCGAACGGGUGAGUAUCACGUGAGUAACCUGCCCUUCGGUCCUGGAUAACCGCUUGAAAGGGCGGCUAAUACGGGGUGGUCCGGUUGGUCCGCAUGGGCUGGUCGGGAUAGAUUCACUGUUUUUGGUGUUUCGGCGGGGGAUGGGCUCGCGGCCUAUCAGCUUGUUGGUGGGGUGAUGGCCUACCAGGGCGGUGGCGGGUAGCCGGCCUGAGAGGGUGGGCGGCCACACUGGGACGGAGAUACGGCCCAGACUCCUGCGGGAGGCAGCAGUGGGGGGUAUUGCACAAUGGGCGGAAGCCUGAUGCAGCGACGUCGCGUGAGGGAGGGAGGCCUUCGGGUUGUGAACCUCUGUUUCCGGUGGUGAAGGCCCUGUCCGUGUGGUGGGGUUGACGGUAGCCGGGGAUGAAGCGCCGGCUAACUACGUG